This 253-nucleotide ribosomal RNA is filed under the name uncultured bacterium. RNAcentral describes it as "partial 16S ribosomal RNA". It matches the Rfam family "Bacterial small subunit ribosomal RNA", at positions 524 to 776 of the family's 1533-position model. The record is from RNAcentral.
UACGGGGGGGGCAAGCGUUGUUCGGAAUUACUGGGCGUAAAGGGCGCGUAGGCGGCCUGCUAAGUCGGACGUGAAAUCCCUCGGCUCAACCGAGGAACUGCGUCCGAUACUGGUGGGCUUGAAUCCGGGAGAGGGAUGUGGAAUUCCAGGUGUAGCGGUGGAAUGCGUAGAUAUCUGGAGGAACACCGGUGGCGAAGGCGGCAUCCUGGACCGGUAUUGACGCUGAGGCGCGAAAGCUAGGGGAGCAAACGGG